CCUGCCGCGCCCCCGGGACGCAGCGCGCACGCAACCGCGUUUCCGGCGAGACCUGGGUGCUGUGUCCCGCGGCUUGCCCUCCAUUGUGCACCCUGCGGGCCUUCGGGAGGUCGGCAGGGUGCCGUCCCUGGCUGCAGGGCUGCUCUUCGGCAGUCUAGCCGGCCUGGGUGCUUACCAGCUGUAUCAGGAUCCAAGGAACGUUUGGGGUUUCCUAGCCGCUACAUCUGUUACUUUUGUUGGUGUUAUGGGAAUGAGAUCCUACUACUAUGGAAAAUUCAUGCCUGUAGGUUUAAUUGCAGGUGCCAGUUUGCUGAUGGCCGCCAAAGUUGGAGUUCGUAUGUUGAUGACAUCUGAUUAGCAGAAGUCAUGUUCCAGCUUGGACUCAUGAAGGAUUAAAAAUCUGCAUCUUCCACUAUUUUCAAUGUAUUAAGAGAAAUAAGUGCAGCAUUUUUGCA
RNAcentral lists this small RNA (455 nucleotides) under Pongo abelii (Sumatran orangutan). Its description in RNAcentral is "processed transcript". Lineage: Eukaryota; Metazoa; Chordata; Mammalia; Primates; Hominidae. The record is from RNAcentral.